Molecule: non-coding RNA, 716 nt
Organism: Arachis ipaensis
Lineage: Eukaryota; Viridiplantae; Streptophyta; Magnoliopsida; Fabales; Fabaceae
Source: RefSeq, a predicted model, not a curated record
AAAAUACGCACCCAUCAGGAAAAAAAAGAGAAAGAAAGGGGAAGAAGGAAGGGGGACCGAGGAAGGAAGGAGAGGGGGGAGAAGAGUAAGGCAGCGCGGUGGGUGUCACUGCCACUGUCGCCGCCGCUGCUGACAGAGGAGAGAGGAGAUCUGAGAGAGAAGGAGAGUACCGCGAGGAAGCCGCCGCGCAGCUCAGGACCGCCGUCGCGUCGCGUCGCGUCGUUGUUGGCGCCAGCGUCGAGGAGACCACGCGGGGAGGAGAGACGCGCGAGGGAGAGAGAGCAGAAUCUCAAGCCGAGCUGAGGUCCAACCACCGUGUUAGAACCCUUUUCGCGUCGCCAGCGUUGCCCACACCGUGAAGCCGUCGCCGCCGCUACUGUACCCGCGUCGUCAUCGUCCUCGUCUUGGAGUCGGUUGCCGCCACUUAUGGAGGAGCCAGAGAGAGCGAGAGAGAGCGAGCUCGGGAGCAGAGGAGAGAAAAGAGAGACCCGCGCCAGCCACCGCCGCUUCUGCCGCUCGAAAUCCUGCUGCCGCCGGCGGAGAACGCACUGUCGCUCUCCGCCGCCGCUGCUUGUUGUUCUGAACUGCUGCACCGUCGUUGCCGCCGUUCGGGUCACUGGGAACAUGGCAGUGAUCACCGGAACCACCAUCGGAGUUACCGUUAUUUAAAUUCAGCGGAUCGAGUUCCGGGUCUUGAUUGCUGAGUUCUAUGGCUG